AGAGUUUGAUCAUGGCUCAGAUCGAACGCUGGCGGCGUGGCUAAGGCAUGCAAGUCGAACGGACCAUGUGGAAGGUAACGGAAGCAUGGUUAGUGGCGAACGGGUGAGUAAUGCAUGGGUAACGUACCUUGAGCGCAGGAAUAGCGGCGCCCUUCGGGGCUUUAGCGAAAGUGCCGGUAAUACCUGAUAAUAUCCAAGGAUCGCAUGGUUUUUGGAUCAAAGUGGGGGAUCCUUCGGGACCUUACAGCUCGAGACCGGCCCAUGUCCUAUCAGCUUGUUGGUGGGGUAACGGCCUACCAAGGCUAUGACGGGUAGCCGGCGUGAGAGCGUGAUCGGCCACAUCGGGACUGAGACACUGCCCGGACACCUACGGGUGGCUGCAGCAACGAAUAUUCCGCAAUGGACGAAAGUCUGACGGAGCGACGCCGCGUGAAGGAUGAAGUCUUUCGGGAUGUAAACUUCAAUAGUUUGUCAGGAAGCAAAACGAGUGAAUAACUUGUAGCGUUGACCAGCAUACGAAAGGGGUGGCUAACUCCGUGCCAGCAGCCGCGGUAAGACGGAGACCCCUAGCGUUGUUCGGAAUUACUGGGCUUAAAGCGCGUGUAGGCGGAACGGUAAGUACUUUGUGAAAGCCCCGGGCUCAACCCGGGUAUUGCUUGGUAUACUGUCGUUCUUGAGGCAGGUAGGGGUUACUGGAACCUUAGGUGGAGCGGUGAAAUGCGUAGAUAUCUAAGGGAACGCCUGUGGCGAAAGCGGGUGACUGGACCUGUACUGACGCUGAGACGCGAAAGCGUAGGGAGCGAACGGGAUUAGAUACCCCGGUAGUCUACGCCGUAAACGAUGCGCACUAGGCUCGAGAGGCUCUGACGUCAUUCGGGCCGAAACAAAAGCGAUAAGUGCGCCGCCUGGGGAGUACGGUCGCAAGAUUAAAACUCAAAGGAAUUGACGGGGGCUCACACAAGCGGUGGAGCAUGUGGAUCAAUUCGAAGCAACGCGAAGAACCUUACCUGGGUUUGACAUGCUAGGAUGCCCUUCCCGAAAGGGGAGUAAGCUGCCUUCGGGUGAAACUAGUACAGGUGUUGCAUGGCUGUCGUCAGCUCGUGCUGUGAAGUGUCGGGUUAAGUCCCUUAACGAGCGAAACCCUUAUCGUUAGUUACCAGCGGUUCGGCCGGGGACUCUAGCGAGACUGCCGGCGUUAAGCCGGAGGAAGGUGGGGACGACGUCAAGUCAUCAUGGCCUUUAUGCCCAGGGUGUCACACGUGCUACAAUGGGAUGUACAGAGCGAAGCAAGACCGUGAGGUGGAGCAAAUCGCACAAAACAUUCCUCAGUUCGGAUUGGGGUCUGCAACUCGACCCCAUGAAGUCGGAAUCGCUAGUAAUCGCGUAUCAGCCAUGACGCGGUGAAUAUGUUCCUGAGCCUUGUACACACCGCCCGUCAAGUCAUGGAAGCUGGGAGUUCCCGAAGCCGCCACAAUUCAGUGGUGUCGACGGAAAGCCUGGUGACUGGGACUAAGUCGUAACAAGGUA
Molecule: ribosomal RNA, 1527 nt
Filed under: metagenome
Description: bacterial SSU rRNA
Rfam family: Bacterial small subunit ribosomal RNA
Source: RNAcentral